CGAACACAUCUUCCUUUUUUAAGAAUGAUUUCUGUGCCGUUCUUUUCUCAAAGAAAAGCUGAACUCCAAGUCUUCCAGAAGACAGUUGUUCCCAGCAGCUGCAACCAUAAGCCUGCCCACCAACUCUAUACACGAUGUGAUUGGCCUGACCAAAAUUAGUUUUUUCCAGCUCGCAAGCCAACGGAGAGUGCCUAGACUGACCCUGGCUACAAAAUAAAUUUGCUGCCACUAGGUCUAGGGGAUGCCUAGGACGCAACAUGAAAAGGCCCCAUCUUCCCCGUCUCCCAAGUAGCCACAAACAAUUAGUAGAUCAGCUGUUUCCCUGAUGACAAAGAAGUUGGACCUCCCGACCAGAUGAGAAGCGUGGCUGACUACAAGACAAGUCGGAGAGCGAUGGUCACCUGUGUUUUAGUCAACAAAUAGAGGAAGGACUCUUUGGCAUUCCUGGGCCACGUGUGAAUGGAUGUGGACCAGCUGAUCGUCCCAGGACAGGACACUACUACAUGUAGCACACAGUGAACCACUCUCCGCACACAGCCUCCUGGGUCGGCCCAGACUAAGCCUUCCUACACAGCCUACUGUUCACUCUUUUUCUUUUUUACCGCUUGACUGGUUUGGUGUUGAAUUCAAUAAAAGAACAUCAGCCAUCUGA
Molecule: long non-coding RNA, 652 nt
Organism: Perca fluviatilis (European perch)
Lineage: Eukaryota; Metazoa; Chordata; Actinopteri; Perciformes; Percidae
Exons: 4
Source: RefSeq, a predicted model, not a curated record